Molecule: microRNA, 21 nt
Filed under: Helianthus annuus (common sunflower)
Lineage: Eukaryota; Viridiplantae; Streptophyta; Magnoliopsida; Asterales; Asteraceae
Also listed under: 1 other name
Description: ama-miR156
Source: RNAcentral
CUGACAGAAGAGAGUGAGCAC